AUUAUUUACAUUUGACCGGAGCACAUGCACCUGUCACCCCGUGAAGGUAAUGGGCGUGAAGUUUCCGGACAAUGUGCAGUACGCAGUUUAGCCAAUCACAACACACCGGCCCAACUAACCAAUCUGAGCCCAUUGCCUGUUUCUGAGCGAGUGGUUUCAGAGAAUCAGGAAGUCAACCGGUCGUUCAAAUUGACAGAGGAGAAAGCGGCUUACAAUAAAGGUGAAAUAUAUGAAAAAUAAGGCGUUUUUUAACAAACGAAACACGAAGACAUGUUAUAUUGCACCCCAUAAACGCAAUCAAGCAAAGAAAAAAAGCAGUAAACCACCCCUUUAAAUAGAGAUUAUUACCAACAUUGAACUGUGAAGAUAUUGGUGUAAUAUGACUGUCAUUCAGUCAAGGCUGUAUGAGUCAGUUUAGCCAUAAAAAGGAAGGCGUACUCACCCUCUCAUCAUUUGUGUUAUGCACAUAGUAAAAACUUACCAAUAAAUUUUUUCUCGCUUCUAUUAUUAGUAGGCUAUGUAACAUGUAGCCAAUCUAGAAAGACGUAACAGACCUUGAGCCACAAAAUUGCGAUGACCGGACAAGUUCUUCUUACUGACAGAAGAGUUCCUUCAUUCGACUUCCUAAUUUAUCUCAUGCGGCUGAGAAAAAAUGUCUUAUGUUUCUGGCAUCUGAUUGAUGCAGUGAAGAUAAUGUCAGUGAUGGAGGGAGACUGUCACUCUACACAUUAAUAUACGCAGACAAGAUAAUUUUUUAGAUAGAUAUUAUAUGAAUUAUAUUCAGUGGAGUUGGUUUAGACCUGAAGAAUCUCAUAAUGUUAGAAUCAUUCAACGUGAUGUGAAGACAGGUGAUAUUAGAUAUUAUCACGAUGAGAUAUUCAGAGACAGACUACAGAUGGACAAUCAAACUGGAUCUCUGACCAUAAGCAACAUCAGAACAACAGACUCUGGACUUUAUCAAAUUAGCAGUCAAUUCUUAGUAGAAUCAUUCAAUGUUAUAGUCUAUGCUCAUCUCUCCAUUCCUGUCAUUACCAGCAACUCUACAUGUUCUUCAUCAUCAGGAUCAUUAGUGUCUAAUUGUUCAUUGUUGUGUUCAGUGUUGAAUGUGAGUCAUGUGACUCUCUCCUGGUUCAAAGGAAACAGUUUAUUGUCCAGCAUCAGUGUGUCUGAUCUCAGCAUCAGUCUCUCUCUACCUCUGGAGGUGGAGUAUCAGGAUAACAACACCUACAGCUGUAGAGUAAACAACCCUAUCAGCAACCAGACUAAACAUCUCAACGUCACUGAACUUUGUCAACCAUGUCCAGAUGCUUUCACAGUUAGCUGUUGCGGUUUCACUGAAGCUGUGAUUCGAUUGGUCAUCUCUGCUGUGGUGGGUGUGGCUGCUGUUGCCAUAGUGAUUUAUGACAUCAGAUCCAGAAGAGCUGAGCAGCUAAGCAAAGAGAAAACAUGAAAAUGUAGACUAAAUUUUGUUAUUUUGAAAAUAUUAAGAAACACACAGAAAACAUUUCUGUGAUAAUUCUUAUAAAGUUUUGCAAAACUAUUAUUUCUAUCACCAAACAAAUGUGGUGGUAGUUCUACUUUCUUCGUCUUUUUUCCUCAUUUAAAAUUGGGCAAUAUUAAAAGUUCAUAAAGAUGGACUGCAAGUUUCUGUUCUCUAUGAUACUAGAACACCAAAUGAAAUAAUAAAAAAACCCCAGCAGCAAUACAAUCUAUAUUAAAUUUAAAUGGUAAUAAUUAAUCUCAAUCAGUCAAUCUUGGCAGCUGAACGGUGAAUAAACAGAAGUUUCCUGUUUGUGUGAAAUAUUCCUUUCACACAGGAAGGAAAGUUACAGGUGAAAGUUUAUUACUCUUAAUCCUUGCUGCACAAAUCGUUUGAUUAAAAUACAAUCAAUAGCAUCAGUGUGUCUGAUCUCAGCAUCAGUCUCUGUCUACCUCUGGAGGUGGAAUAUCAGGAUAACAACACCUACAGCUGUAGAGUAAACAACCCUAUCAGUGACCAGACUAAACAUCUCAAUGUCACUGAUCUUUGUCAACCAUGUCCAGGUAUGGCAGAGAUUAUAUGAAUAAAUAUUUAAAGAAAUACCACAAACAUUUUGGUGCAGGUUCUCAAUAAAAGGUCUCUCUCCUCAGACUCUGUUCACUGCUGCGGUAUCACUGAAGGUGAGAUUCGAUUGGUCCUCUCUGCUGUGGUGGGCGUGGCUACUGUUAUCAUAGUGGUUUAUGACACCAGAUUCAGAAGAGCUGGAAAGAAGCGAAAAACAUCACAAUCAGAUGCUGAAUGAUGGCAUUGAAAAACAGGAAAUGAAUACACUCUUGAUGUAAACAAAGAUCUGUAACAUUUGACUUGACACAGUGCCACCUACUGGUUUCUUCGUAAAUAAGAGAUGCAAUGAAGAUAAUGUCAGUGAUGGAGGGAGAGUCUGUCACUCUACACAAUGAUAUAACCAGCCGUGAUACUAAAUUGUAUUACAUGGAUUAUAUAGAGUGGAGUUGGUUUAGGCCUGAAGAAUCUCGUAAUGUUAAAGUCAUUCAGCUUGAUGUGAAGACAGGUGAUAUUAGAUAUUAUUAUGAUGAGAUAUUCAGAGACAGACUACAGAUGGACAUUCAAACUGGAUCUCUGACCAUCAGCAACAUCAGAACAACAGACUCUGGACUUUAUCAAAUGUACAAUACAUUCUCAGUAGAAUCAUUCAAUGUUACAGUCUACGUCUCUCAUGUUUUCCAGCUGGUCUUCCCACCCCUGUCAUCACCAGAUACUCUACAUGUUCAUCAGGAUCAUUACAGAAUUGUUCACUGCUGUGUUCAGUGUUGAAUGUGAGUCAUGUGACUCUCUCCUGGUUCAAAGGAAACAGUUUAUUGUCCAGCAUCAGUGUGUCUGAUCUCAACAACAGUAUAUAUCUAAAUCUGGAGGUGGAAUAUCAGGAUAACAACACCUACAGCUGUGUGCUCAACAAUCACAUCAGAAACCAGACUCAACAUCUGGACAUCACUGAACUCUGCAAGACAUGUGCAGAUCAAUUCCACUGUUGCGGUUUCACUGAAGCUGUGAUUCGAUUGGUCAUCUCUGCUGUGGUGGGCGUGGCUACAGUUGCCAUAGUGGUUCAUGACAUCCGAACCAGUUUUCAUUAGUUUCUUUGUUCUUCUGAAAAUCUUUGAAAAAAAAAAACAUGCAGAAAAAAUUCGGUGUGAUAAUGCUUAUAAAGCUUUGCUAAACUAUUAUUUCUUCCUCCAAACUAAUGUGCUUUGAGUUCUGUUUUCUUGGUCUUGGCCUUUUUUCCAAUAAAAUUGUGCAAUAUUAAAAGUGCACAAGGAUUAAAAUUGAAAUGUACAUUAUUAAAAUAUACAUUAUUUGAAUGUAAAUUACAUUAUUUAUGUGACUGUCAUUAAUCUGGAACUCAACUAAUCAAUCAUGUUGAAUAAAUGGACAGAAGUUUCAAUUUUGGGUAGAAUAUUACUUUAAGAAAGGGUAUAGUUAAAAGUCUAAACUUAAAGAUCAUUACUGUAUAAACACUCUGAAGACAAUGUAGGUGUUUCUACUGGGAACGCUAAAAGAGGAAAAGAUGGUGAGAGAGCAACAUAAAUAGUUCAGUCAGCGUGAAAGGAGAAGUCGUUUUGAAAGUAGCGUUAUAAUAACCCACGCUUGGUUAACACCUACAUGACCCCCAUAAAGAAUUAAAUAAAUCAGGGGCCCAGAAACCUCAGACGCCUCUGUAUUUAGAAUUAAAAGCAGCGGUGCUCAGUUCUGCAUUUCUACAUCUAUAUCCCUCACCUGCAUUAAGUGUCACGCAGUAAGAUGUCAUUUUAUUUUGAGCCAUAUGUGAUGACAAAAACUGUACCUGAAGACUCAUUUGUUUUCAAACCUUUUAAGGCCUAGAGAAAAAAAACAUAAUAUGCAAAUUUAUUUUAGUUGGAAAUUAUGAAAUUAACCACAAUCUGUUUUACUACAGACAACUAAAUGUGAAUUUAUGAAUCAUUUUGUCUAUACACAAAUCUUAUUUAUUGUGUAACUGUAGCCUACAGUCAAUGUACCUAAUGAAAAUUAAAAAAAAUAAAAUAAAAUUAGCCACCAACAUUAAUUAUGUUGAAAAGGGUAAAUUAUAAUGCUCAAAACAACAAUUUUACAGCAUAGGCCUGCCUAAUUUUUCGGAGAUAAUUUUACUUAUGGCUAAUAGUGACACGUAAGAUGGCGCCAUCACAUUGUAGGAAACGACUGUGUCAGUUGUUUGAACAGGGUCUGAUAUACUUAAACAACAGCAAAAAAAAAAAAAAAUUAUAAUUAAUUUCUAAUAACACUAGUAUUUUAUCCGAGCAUUGAAACAGUUUUCUUCUGUUUCUGUCCUCAGAACGCGUCCACUGUUGCGGUUUCACUGAGCUAUGAUUCGACUGGUCAUCUCUGCUGUGAUGGGCGUGGCUACUGUUAUCUACUAACCACGCCCCUGCACGAGCUCACCACGGUCUCAGGUGCACGCCCCCCGCUCAGCCCCGCCCUCGGUUCGUCCCCUCUGUCUCUGUAUUUUUCAAAUAUUGCCAGUGGGUGGAGUUAGGCUCUGACCAGGGGUUUAGUUACCCUUAAGUUAUCAUGUUAUGUUCUUCUGAAAAUCUAAAAAGCAUGCAGAAAAUAUGUCUUUGUGAUAAUGCUCAUAAAGCUUUGCUAAACUAUUAUUUCUUCCACCAAACUAAUGUGCUUAAGUUCUUCUCUCCUGGCCUUUUUUCCUCCAUUAAAAUUAUGCAAUAUUAAAAAUGCAUAAAGGUAGAAAACUGAUUUCAACAGUUGUGCUUGACCAAUGCAGUAUGAAUGCCAAUAAAUAAUCACAGUCAAAACUGCUGCUUUACAACCAACAACUGAUAAAGUUUAAAAUGUGUAUCGGUUUUAAAAAAAACUUUGAUUAUGGGUUAUAUUUAUAAGAUUAUCUGUCAUAAUGAAGCUUGGAAAUUAUAUGAUGUUUGUGUAAUUUUACAUUUCAUAAAAAGGCACAAGAGCACAGAAAUGUGAAUACUACAGAAUGAAAACUGG
Molecule: RNA transcript, 5014 nt
Organism: Onychostoma macrolepis
Lineage: Eukaryota; Metazoa; Chordata; Actinopteri; Cypriniformes; Cyprinidae
Exons: 8
Source: RefSeq, a predicted model, not a curated record